Molecule: ribosomal RNA, 905 nt
Filed under: uncultured Klebsiella sp.
Lineage: Bacteria; Pseudomonadati; Pseudomonadota; Gammaproteobacteria; Enterobacterales; Enterobacteriaceae
Description: bacterial SSU rRNA
Rfam family: Bacterial small subunit ribosomal RNA
Source: RNAcentral
UGCAUGUCGAGCGGUAGCACAGAGAGCUUGCUCUCGGGUGACGAGCGGCGGACGGGUGAGUAAUGUCUGGGAAACUGCCUGAUGGAGGGGGAUAACUACUGGAAACGGUAGCUAAUACCGCAUAACGUCGCAAGACCAAAGUGGGGGACCUUCGGGCCUCAUGCCAUCAGAUGUGCCCAGAUGGGAUUAGCUAGUAGGUGGGGUAACGGCUCACCUAGGCGACGAUCCCUAGCUGGUCUGAGAGGAUGACCAGCCACACUGGAACUGAGACACGGUCCAGACUCCUACGGGAGGCAGCAGUGGGGAAUAUUGCACAAUGGGCGCAAGCCUGAUGCAGCCAUGCCGCGUGUAUGAAGAAGGCCUUCGGGUUGUAAAGUACUUUCAGCGGGGAGGAAGGCGAUAAGGUUAAUAACCUUGUCGAUUGACGUUACCCGCAGAAGAAGCACCGGCUAACUCCGUGCCAGCAGCCGCGGUAAUACGGAGGGUGCAAGCGUUAAUCGGAAUUACUGGGCGUAAAGCGCACGCAGGCGGUCUGUCAAGUCGGAUGUGAAAUCCCCGGGCUCAACCUGGGAACUGCAUUCGAAACUGGCAGGCUAGAGUCUUGUAGAGGGGGGUAGAAUUCCAGGUGUAGCGGUGAAAUGCGUAGAGAUCUGGAGGAAUACCGGUGGCGAAAGCGGCCCCCUGGACAAAGACUGACGCUCAGUGCGAAAGCGUGGGGAGCAAAACAGGAUUAGAUACCCUGGUAGUCCACGCCGUAAACGAUGUCGAUUUGGAGGUUGUGCCCUUGAGCGUGGCUUCCGGAGCUAACGCGUUAAAUCGACCGCCUGGGGGAGUACGGCCGCAAGGUGAAAACUCAAAUGAAUUUGACGGGGCCCGCACAAGCGGUGGAGCAUGGUGGUUUAAUU